AUUGAACGCUGGCGGCAGGCUUAACACAUGCAAGUCGAGCGGGGGAAGGUAGCUUGCUACCGGACCUAGCGGCGGACGGGUGAGUAAUGCUUAGGUAUCUGCCUAUUAGUGGGGGACAACAUCUCGAAAGGGAUGCUAAUACCGCAUACGUCCUACGGGAGAAAGCAGGGGAUCUUCGGACCUUGCGCUAAUAGAUGAGCCUAAGUCGGAUUAGCUAGUUGGUGGGGUAAAGGCCUACCAAGGCGACGAUCUGUAGCGGGUCUGAGAGGAUGAGCCGCCACACUGGGACUGAGACACGGCCCAGACUCCUACGGGAGGCAGCAGUGGGGAAUAUUGGACAAGGGGGGGAACCCUGAUCCAGCCAUGCCGCGUGUGUGAAGAAGGCCUUAUGGUUGUAAAGCACUUCAAGCGAGGAGGAGGCUACUUUAGUUAAUACCUAAAGAUAGUGGACGUUACUCGCAGAAUAAGCACCGGCUAACUCUGUGCCAGCCGCCGCCGUAA
Molecule: ribosomal RNA, 501 nt
Filed under: uncultured bacterium
Lineage: Bacteria
Description: partial 16S ribosomal RNA
Rfam family: Bacterial small subunit ribosomal RNA
Source: RNAcentral